Long non-coding RNA from Lycium barbarum (goji berry), 1341 nucleotides. RefSeq lists it as uncharacterized. Lineage: Eukaryota; Viridiplantae; Streptophyta; Magnoliopsida; Solanales; Solanaceae. The record is from RefSeq and is a predicted model, not a curated record. The transcript has 2 exons.
UCAGCCGCAACAUCCACAAAAAAUACUCAUCUUCCUCUUCAAUCAUCACCAAAGGGCUACCAUUGAAACAUCAUCUUUACCAUGUCAACCAGCCCUUAAAACCGACCAUUUUCUGCCUAUAGACACUCACCAUAACAUUAUCUAAACACACACUACACCCAGAAUAGAAAGCAGUGCGGUAGUAGCUAUUUCACUGAAAACACCAGUAAAUUCUCCAUCUUCCUUCAUUAGAUAAAGAUUUUAAUCGUUCAGAGGCUCUACGCAAAGGGGAUGCAUUAGUUUGAUUGUUCGUGGCACCCGCUCGACAUUGAGGUAGGUUACGGUCUACUUAAGUUAGACUCUGAUUAGAGAAUCGUAUGUAGUUGUAGAAAGUGACGGGGAUAGCAUGAUAGGCCUUCGGGCAUGAAGUGGACGUGAAUUCCAAUUAGGUUGGUUUUGUCAGCUGUUAUGUGGGCUUGUCGCCAAAUGUGUUAUUUCCGUGGUUAUCACUUGUUUGUAUCUCCGUCACAUACUAGUUCACUCAUCACAUGAAAAGAAAUGGUAAUAUUGAUAAUUGAACAGUGGACAGUAAUAUGACUUGUACUUGUUGAUUUAUAUUGGUGGUAUUGUUGAGACUGAUAUCAUGCAUGGCAUGCUUUCCAUAUUAUUGUGGUGAUGAUUGGUGAGGUGAGUGAUUGAGAGACUCCGAGGUCUUUGCCGGAGCUAGAGAGUGACAGAGAGACUCCGAGGUCUUUACCAGAGAUUGAGAGUGAUUAAUAGCCUCCGAGGUUUCUGCCGGAGAGCACGAGUGGUACAUGGACUUCGCGGGUCCCCCAUGGGUCAUGGCUUUGAGGCAUUGUCCUUAGCAUGUGUGUACGAGAGUGGAGUGAGAGAGGUGACUAUUGCAUUGCAUUUCAUUCAUCCACUCAUAUAUUUGACUGAUCAUUUGGUGAAUUAUAUCUAUCUUGGUUGAUUUCAUAAUUCCUUUACACUUUACUUGUAUAUGAUACGUGACCAUACCUGUUUGCUCUAUAUGCUACUUGUUGGUUUCAACUUCUUCAUGCGUUAUCUAAUCAUUGUCGGCCUAUGAUGCUUACCGGUACUAGUGUUGUACUGAUACUACUCUUGCUGCACUUUUGUUGAGUGCAAAGUACGAUCCAGGCUCCAGUUCUACACCCCGUGAUUGAUACGCGAGGGUGACAUCUUUCAGUAAUUCAGGGUGAGCUACUUGGUCAUCCGUGGCCCCUGAAGGACCUCCUCUAUUUAUUGCUGUUUUUUUGUAUUCGACAGACAAUAUGUAGCCUUCGGGUAUUUUCAGACUUAUAUUCCGUACUAUGUUAGCGCUCUUGUACCAUUUGACCA